UACGUAGGUGGCAAGCGUUGUCCGGAUUUACUGGGCGUAAAGGGCGCGCAGGCGGUCUUGAAAGUCAGGCGUGAAAGCCCCGGGCUUAACCUGGGAAUUGCGCUUGAUACUCUGAGACUGGAGUACGGGAGAGGAGAGUGGAAUUCCCAGUGUAGAGGUGAAAUUCGUAGAUAUUGGGAAGAACACCAGUGGCGAAGGCGGCUCUCUGGACCGUAACUGACGCUGAGGCGCGAAAGCGUGGGGAGCAACAGG
This 252-nucleotide ribosomal RNA is filed under the name uncultured bacterium. RNAcentral's name for it is "partial 16S ribosomal RNA". It matches the Rfam family "Bacterial small subunit ribosomal RNA", at positions 524 to 775 of the family's 1533-position model. The record is from RNAcentral.